RNAcentral lists this ribosomal RNA (140 nucleotides) under uncultured bacterium. RNAcentral describes it as "partial 16S ribosomal RNA". It matches the Rfam family "Bacterial small subunit ribosomal RNA", at positions 355 to 509 of the family's 1533-position model. The record is from RNAcentral.
UGGGGAAUAUUGGGCAAUGGGCGCAAGCCUGACCCAGCAACGCCGCGUGAAGGAAGAAGGCUUUCAGGUUGUAAACUUCUUUUCUCAGGGACGAAGAAAGUGACGGUACCUGAGGAAUAAGCCACGGCUAACUACGUGCC